RNAcentral lists this long non-coding RNA (368 nucleotides) under Elaeis guineensis (African oil palm). Its description in RNAcentral is "long non-coding RNA (EGUI_LNC026792)". Lineage: Eukaryota; Viridiplantae; Streptophyta; Magnoliopsida; Arecales; Arecaceae. The record is from RNAcentral.
GGGAAAGCAGGUUGAACUGCUCCGCCAUCACCACCGUCGACUGUGGAGGUGGAGGGUUUUCCGUAACCACUGACGAAGCCGCAUGGUUAACCUGGCUCUCCUCUGGUCGUACGAUGGCGUUGGUGCGGUGGGAUGACGUUCUUCUAGGUGCCAUGGGUGCUCUAUCUCGAUCUGCAUUCCUCCAAGUAGGGACGGUCCCUUCCUUUAGCACCAACCUAUUGGUGCGAGAUUUCGGCCAACACCAAAGGAGUUGGAGCGGACGAUCGAGAUCUGUCUCCCAAAGGAGAGACCUAUAAGAAAAAUUUCGAUCGGAAGUUGCUCCGGUGGGGACCUUUCGAUGCUCAAGUCGGUAUCUCAUUCAACAGAGG